This is a long non-coding RNA of Felis catus (domestic cat), 18442 nucleotides long. RefSeq lists it as uncharacterized. NCBI's taxonomy places the organism in Eukaryota, Metazoa, Chordata, Mammalia, Carnivora, Felidae. The transcript has 3 exons. The record is from RefSeq and is a predicted model, not a curated record.
GGGGGGGGGGGGGAGGGGGAGUGGGCAGGGGAGCUGGGAUAGCCCUUUGGAGGGCCAUUUUUAAUGUAAAAAGCAGUUUCACUUUGGGAAGCCUCUCCAACAGAAAUGCUCCCGUAACUUUGUAAGGAUACACAUGCAAGGGUAGUUGCCUUGGCCUUGCAGUGUUGAACAAAUUAGAAACAGACUGAGCGGUCGUUAAUUGGGGGGUGGUGGCUAAAUUCACCUGCAUCGGUGGAUGGGAUACAGAUGCAGCCUCCCCAAAAAUGUGAUGGGGAUAUGGGCACUGAUAUGGAAACAUGUUGAUACAUUAAUUAAAAUGAAGCAAGUGACAGAACCAUAUGUGUCCUAGGGUCCCAUUUAAGUUUCUAAAACUAUUUGUGUGCAUAAAACUUUAUAUAUGUUUAUGCAUAGAAAAAUAUCUGGAAGGAUCCAUCCAUAUUCUACCUUUAACACUAUUUCCUCCGGAGAUGGGAUUCAGGGUGGGGUAAGGAGUGGGGGGUUGGGGUGGGGAGGACUCACGGUAUUUGGUUCUCCCACUGGUGUGGUUCAAAUGAGCAUGUGUUUCUUCUGUGAUAAAAAAGGAAGAUCAUAGGAUAUAGCCCUCUGGGACCUCAGAUUCAUUAGACUGGGGGAGCAGAGGCCAAUAGCACUGGGUAGGGUGGACAGGAGGGAUGGGCAAUCUGUGUAUACAGACCGCGAAGACCUUUCCAGAAGUUUUCUGGUGAACAGCAUUUUUGUUUUUUGUUUUAUUUAUCUUUUUAUUUUUCAAUAUAUGAAGUUUAUUGUCGAAUUGGUUUCCAUACAACCCCCAGUGCCCAUCCCAAAAGGUGCCCUCCUCAAUACCCAUCACCCACCCUCCCCUCCCUCCCACCCCCCAUCAACUCUCAGUUUUUUAUUUAUUUUUUUAAUUUUUCAAUGAACAGCAUUUUUGAAAGAGGAUGCUAGCUUAAGGAAGAGGCGUGGUAGAGGGAAGCUUUAUAUCGGGAGGUGUUGACCCCUGGGUAGGCUGGGGGCGGGGAGGAAGCAAAAGAAGAGUAAUUUCACAGGAUCCUAAGGAGAGGGAUAUUUGGCCAGCCUGGUAUGUGCUGAAUGACCUGUGGGAUCCAAAGUCCCAGUGGAGGAAUCACCCUAAAAAAAGAGUGAGGAACAUGUUUGGGGGAGGGUAUGACCAGAUAAUCGGCGGUGGGGGUGGGGCGGUGUGCAGAGAGGGUGAGAGGGCCUGGGAGGGAGUUCACGGUUGAUGACCUGUGAACCGAGAAUGGAUGUGUCACCGAAGUGACAAGUGAUGGAGACAGUCUAAGAACUUCUGAGGGCAACAGGAAACUCUGGGAAUGGAAAAAAGGGUUAGUAAACUGACCUAGCUGGCGACAGAAGGCGGCUGGUUAAUCACACCUUCGUAAUAGAACAAACCUGCAGUUCUGCAUUUUUCUCUUAGCAGAGCUCAAGUGUAAGACGAGAAAGAAAGAAAGGUCAAGCUGUUCCAAGGCUGGGGGAAAAGGCAUGGCCGGCCCAGUGUGAAGGGAGAUGUAAAGAAGUGACGUGGGGUAGAGGAACCAGAUAUGGACUUGGAGGCCCCGAGUUGAGAUGAGCAGCCCCGGAAGCAUUUUGAGAGAAGGGAAUUGUGGACAGCCAGGAUGGCGCGCCUCUUAGGUGAUGUCCAGGUUCAAGGUUUGGCUGUGGGGAUGGAUGCGUUGCGCAAGUAGACAGGAGUAGAGACAGCUCUGUCUCCACCCGGGAACCUAUGCAGGGGGAAGGAUUGGGGCAAAGAUAAAACCUAUGAGCCUGAUGCCAGAGCUCUCAAUUCAUGCAUUCAACAAAUAUUUAUUGAGCACCUGCUAUGUGCCAGGCACUCUUCCUAGCCUUGGUGGGGAGGUGAAUGUGAGAGUCCUCUGGGUUGCUGACAGAUGAAGAUGGGAAGAAGGGGGGGUGGGGGGCGCCAAGAAGAGGAGGGAGCGUCACCGAGGAAGGGGGUGGGGAUAGAAUGGUCAGGAAGAUGAGGUAAGAUGUCAGAGGAGAGUGCUGCCAGGCUGGGAUGGAUCAGAAAAGGAGCACCUUCUCUUCUUUAGAAGAGCUGGGAGAGGAGCCCUGUCAGGGAAAGGCAGGCUUCGGAUGGGGUGAAGGCAGGAAGCUGGUGCGUUUUUCAGCUUCCUCCUGUGCCCCACCCCGCCUUCCUCACACCUCGAGUCUCACAGAAGGGUGCAGGGCCGGUGGAAGGGGAAAGGCGAGUCCUUCCUCGGACACCACGAGGCUCCACUCAGGGACUGUGCCAGGCACUCUUUCCUGUGACAUCAGCUCUAUGUUCUGGCCCUCAUCCACUGCGUGACGGUGGAGAGAAACAGGAAGGGUCAGAGAGGAACGGUAAGACCAGACACAGUGGUAGGAGAGAGAAGCGUCCAGGAGGAGACAGACAAGGAUGAAAACAGAGGAGGAGAAGCCAAAAGAUAGUCCUGAGGAAAGGGAGGUAGACGCACACAGAGGCCACAGGACUGGACUGCUGGGAGACGGUCAAGCACAGAGCCAAAUGGGACCCAAAAGAAGAGAGGGCUAUGUGGGGUAACCACCAGACACAUCUGGUUCUGCCAUGUCUUAGGGGUUCCCGUCAGCCAAGAAAGGUCCUUCCAAUGGCUUUUUCCUGUCCUUGAGGCCACCUUGAAGGCACAGGAGAGGGAGAGGUCUGGGGGCAGUGGUGGGGACCAGUGGCGCAGAAAGGGCCUAGAGAGAGGUGGAUGGUGAUGACCCAAAGACCUGGGUCCACUCCCGGAUGGAUCUCAGGGAGGAUGUCUUUCCUUCUACCUGAACACCCUGGCCCUCAGACACUGGGCCCCCCUUCCAGAUUGAGCUCCAUUCUUACUCUGUCCCAUUCCCCACAUUACUGACCUUGUCACUUGACUUGGGCAGCCUGGUCUUCCUUCCCCCUCUCUACUGGCAAACGGGGACCUGCCCAUCGGCAGGGCAUGAACGAUCAAGUUGUGCUCUCUUGGAUCCUAGAUAAAACUGUGAAGCAGGAUGAUCUGGGGCUUUCUGCUUCCCCGAAAGGCCAACAAGGCUCUGCUCUAGAAGGAGGGCCACUCUGAGUCUGGAAUGGUCUUUCCGGAAGAGCUGGAGGCAGACGCCUUUUAGGGAGGGAAGAGAGCUGAAUUCCUGAGGCCUUUUUCCUCCUUUGCCUUCAAAGUCUCUGAGAUGACAGGGACCUCAGCAGCCCCGCCAGCAGGUGGUCAGGUCCCUCUCUCUUCCUUCUUUCUCCUGGCUGUCAUCUCAGCAACUGCUGCUUCUGGAGGAAGAAAACAAAGGCAGUCAGAGAAGGGACAGCAGGACGUGUGGGGCAGGAGUCCCCCCCCAGGCAGGGACACUGUGUGCCCUCUCCCCAAAGAAGGAGAAUCUACCCUGGAGGUCUGCAGGGACAGAGUAACAGAUCAUUCUAGGGGAGAAUAAUGGAAGAGGCUACCAAAAAAAAAAAAAAAACAAAAAAACAAAACUUGAAACUGGUUAGAAGAGGGUCCUUACAGCUCCAGGGCCUGUCCCAGCCCCGAUACAGCAUCAUCCUGUGAACUGACUCACCAUCCCUGCUGCCAAAUCCUUAUGCACAGGAGCGAUGUACAGAUUUGUAGACAGCGCUCCUCUUUCUAGAAUGCCUUGAGCUCCGUGACUCCUUCCUCUCGACUAGAGAAAAAAGCCUUGCGAACGUUCUGCUUGAGGUGGCGUGAACAGAACUUCGAGGUGGUCUCAGAUGUGGAAACUUCUUGCGGUGUGGGGGCCAAAUGAGCUUCUAUUGUACUUCCUGCUGGUGGUCUUACCUUUCACUGGCUUCGUGUGCUCAGGGGUGCCCAGACCCUUGUCCCUGUUGCAAGGCCGUACCGGAAGCCAUGCUUCCCCACAGGCACUACUUAACUAUCUACGAAUAAGGUUGGGGGACAAGGCUCCAGCGAGGUCAGUGGGUCCUCCCAGUUUUACUUCCUGGUCUCUAUCGCAGGGUCAGUGAUGGUCCUCUGUCUUUACACGUCACCCUCUCACAUUCUUCUCCAGAGCCACUCUCCAACCCCCUCCGAGGCCUCUCUGUCCUGCUCUGGGCCCAGAGGCACCGGUCCCGAGCCAUCGGGAGGCGAAUGAAGUCGGAGAGAGUGAGGACUGGCUCUGGGUGUCCCUCGGCGGGACGCUACGGGUCUGGGCCGGGCGCCCUCUGAGCACAGUUGCCCUCUCUGGCUCUCGUAGCCGUGUGUUUCCCCUGCUUUAAGGCCGUCUAUUUCUUACUGAAGCGUGUUCUAAAUCCUGUCAUUGUAGACAGUUGGAUCACUGAGCUUUGCUCAAGCUUCCCGGCGUGGCAGGGCCUUUGUCCCUGCUGGCUCCCUGGCUGAGACAGCCCUUCUCUCCAGUGUGGUUUCUCAGUGUCUGAAAUCCAUGUUUCCUUUCGGUGCGCACACAAAUCUGACACUCCACCAAUAAUUCCAGUGCACUUUAUUGGGUAGUGUGGGAGACCCCCCACCCUUAUACCCUGCAAGAUUAGGCACCACGGAUGCUCAGCAGGGCCAGACUGGUUGCUGUGCAACCCACCUGGCAAGGCUUUGCUGGGCUUUACACUGUGUGGUUUGUGUGGCAAAAAAAAAAAAAAAAAAAAAAAAAAAAAAAAAAAGCGCUCUGAUGGUUUGUUUUCUAAUCUGAAUAGGCUAUAAUUCCGAGACUUUUCCGAGACUUCUGGAAUCUUCAGAUGGAAUGGCUGGAUAGGAAGCCUGAACCCCAGCAAGGAAAGGUGGGGCCGGGGGUGGGGAGAGCUGGGGGUCCCCAUAGUUGGUGUUGCCGAGAAGAGGAGGCAGAAAAUAGAGAUGAACCCGGAACUCUGGGUAAAGUCGACGCUUGAGGGUCAGGCACAGGGAGAGAACCAGGGAAGGAGGACUACGAAAAGGCAUGGUAGGGGUCGGGAGGAUGGAGAGAGAGGGAUUAGGAAAAGUUGGUGUCCCAGAAAUCAAGGGACAGAGAGAGCCCUGGUGACCAUGUCGAAUGCCGCCUGUAGGUUACAUUUUGAAGGCAUCAGCUUGUAUCUUGCGGACUUAGCAAGGCUGGUAGGAAGCUGGGCUGGGGGCUGCUUCUGUGGCACGGUAGGAGUGCUGUGUGGCCCCAGCAGGAAGCCGCUUGAUGGGGAGAUGCCCCCAGAGAAGGAGGGGCUGAGGGUUUCUGAGGACCAAGUCCUGGGGACGGGGGCUGGGACGGGCUGGUGGAAGGCUCGGAGAGACUUUGGGAGAGGCAGGUGCAGCUGGUGGGAGCAGGGGAGGGGUGGACGCAGGCACACUGAGCACCGGGCCCUCCCUGUUCUCGUGAGACUAUUGCUGAGGGCAUUUUCAGGGUUUUCAGCUAAUGGUUGCAAGGUGUCUGGAGACUUCACAGCCAAGUGAAAGGGAGGUAGGUGCCAAGGGCUCACACUGUGCUGGACAGCAGCUUUUCUGAGGUACUUAGAGGCCUGAGAACUUGAAAUUGAAAGCCCACGUCGGGGACUGUUCCCGGAUUAGGGGUCUCCAAGGAGGCUGAGACAAAUGGGCAACAGCUCAUAGGAGUGAAUGUUGGUGACAUGAGGGUCUAAGCAGUGAAGGAAGGAAGUGAACAGGGGCGCCUGGGUGGCUCAGUUGGUUAAGCAUCCAACUUUGGCUCGGGUCUCGAUCUCGCGGUUUGUGGGUUUGAGCCCUGCGUCAGGCUCUGUGCUGACAGCUCGGAGUCUGGAGCCUCCUUCCAAUUCCGUGUCUCUCCUUCUCUGGCCCUACCUUGCUCAGGCUCUUGUCUCUGUCACUCUCUCUCAAAAAUAAAUAAACCUUAAAAAAAAAAAAAGGAAGCGAGUGAAUCCUGGGUGCUGAGACCCCAGUGGGACCCCAGGGCCUGGAGUUCUCCACGAGAUUGAAAAAUGGGGACGUGUUUUUAUAAUGACUCCUGGACUAUUUGAUUAUCGUUGUAACCAGCCAACAAACAAAAAGUCAAUUGAAAAUGUCAAAUUUCCCAAAUGCCCAUCAACUGGAUAAUGGAUAAAUAACUUGUGGUAUAUUUCUAGAGGGGAAUACUGUACAAUUCCAUGCAAUAGCUUGGAUAAGCCUCAAAAACAUGUAACUGUUGAGCAAAAGAGGUCAGACAUAAAAGACUAGGUGCUAUUUGCCAUCCUUUCCAUAAAGUUCUACCAACAGGCAAAAGUAAUCGGUGGCUUUAGGUUCCAGGAUAGUGAUGACUCUUGGGGGAAGAGGUCACUAGAAAAGGGAGGUACCGGGGUACCAAUUGUUCCCCAGGAGCUCCACAGGCCCAUUCAGCCAGUGAAAUGCACUGCCUUGUGCAUUUGUGACAGGGGCAUUUUUCUGUAUGCUUAUUCUCCUUCAAAAAAAAAAAAAAGCUUACUUUAAAAAAGAGGGAGACUAUCUCAUGCGAAGCAAUAAUUCCCUUGGGCUCCAAGGCCAGUCCCUUCUGAGAUCACCUCCGAUAACAGAAGUUGGGCCUCCUGGCCAGUUGGAAGCAGCAGGUAUGAAGAUGGCAAUGAUUCUCCCUCUCCAGUGCCAUCCCCUCCGUCUUCUCCCCCUGCCCUCGUCCGUUAUGACGAAAGGCAUUCUUGAUGCCCAACCACAUCAUAAAUAACUAAAGGCCAUUUCCCCUCUGGAAUCGUCCAAGCUUUGUGUCUAGUGUCUCCUGAAGCAAGGCCUACAGCUAUGGCCUUUGUCUAAAACGGAGUACCUGGGAGGUAGCUGAGGCUAUCCCUCUGCUAGAGGGUGCCAGCUCCCCUCAGCAGGCCGUACAGGGCCCCGCAGUCCCAGAUCCACCCGGGAGGGGUGCCUUUUCUAAUUGGCCCCAAGGUGCCCAAGAGAUCCUCAACAUCCCUGCUAGAAGUUGUUGGGCAACCAUGCUCGAGGUCUUACGAUGUCCGGGCCAGAAAGAAGGGAGCGUGAGGGUUUAACCAUAGUGUUACACGGUAACAAUAGUGAUGGGUAUAGACCCUUUUAUUGUUCAAAGCACUCGCACGGACAUGAUGUGUGGCCAAGGCUUUGCCCGGGUCCCGGCAAGAAGGAUAGAAGCAUCUCUCCUGGCCACAGCUCCUCUGGCUCCCCCAGGAGCCAACUGGGUGGUGGUGAGAGAGGGCUAGUUUGGACACUGUGCACAACAGUCCUUCUCCCUCUGUGUGUCACUGGCAGACGCGAGGGUACGUCUGCCUUUAUUAGUUCAUAAGACAUGUGUUGUCUGGGGUUCUGUGUGUCCUGCCGUCAUUCGGUCGCUGAUGGAAUCUCUCUGUGGCCACAGUCAUUCUCAGUUCCCGCUUUCGGUGGCUGUGAGGGGCCCACUGGGUGUAUGUGAGGAGCCUGGGGCUCUGCCCGUCCCCAGGCUGCCCCUCCCAGUGGGCUUGUUGCUCACAGUGGCUUUGCAGUGGGCAUUCUGUGGGGUCUGGUCAUGGCCCUAGACUUUCUGUCCUAUGUUGUGUUUUGUUUUGUUUUUCCUUCUCUGUGUUCAAGUCUUCUCCAAGGCUUUCUGUGGGGUUUUUGCUCUUUAAACAAUUCCUUUUGAUUUUUUUCCCUUAUGAAAGGUCACAUUUCAUCUUGGUUCCUUUCCCGGAAAUUGAGUACCAGGGAGGGCGUACUAGGGCUAUCCCUCUGCCACCAGAGCGUUAAAGAUCAUGUGGGCACUGAGAGCCUCGAUACCGCCCUGAGGACCCCUCCCACUCCAAAGUCUGUCACUUUGGAGAAUGGACCCAGCCUAUUUCCCGUCUUUAUGGAUGAGAAAACUCUGUAUUUGAGGACACAGCCACGUAUCUUCACUGAGAGCCUCACCUCUGUUGCUCGUCCUGAAGAGGCAGUGAGCAAUCUGAGCCCAGAGAGGGGGAGUUUUAUUCCGAGGAGUAAAGUGGCAACUGACUGAUGGGAAUAACGUUUGGAGCUCAUCAUCCAGCAAAGUGGCACAACUAGAAAAGACGAAAGGUCUAGAGAGCUUUGGGGAACGUCGCAGGGCAAUUAGUAAAAAGAGCUUUAGUUAUCGACAACGAGUCCAUUAUGGCCACGUUACCGCGGUUCGCUGAUCCGCGCAAUGGAGGAUUGUUUGAGCAGCCUCCUGCCUUCUUCCCUCCUGUAGAAUUUCUCAUCGGUCAGAGCCACUGUCAUCGGUCCAGCUGCCUUCCGCCAGUUGUGUCUCACUCACUUCUGUGGGGACGGCACCAGCCACGCCGUUUGAUUUCUCGACUUGGGAUGCGCUUGUAGGAACAGCUAGGGAUUUGUCUUUGCUUUUUGCCCCUCCCCGGGCCUGCCAGUGGUCAGAUUACGCGGGUGAAUGUUACCAUUUGCUUUCCAUCCCUUUGCAUUUCCUCCUGACUACUGGCCGUCACUGGGCAGGUACCAAUCGGAAUCUCGGUGCAGUUUGGCACCAAUUGUCAUUUGCUCCUAUUUUCGAUAAAAAACUACUCCGAUUCCAUUUGCAUCACAGUCCCAGCAACUUGGAGCCCUUUAUCCAGCCAGUGCUCAGAGGCCCCGCCUGUCUUGUGUAACCGCAUCAGAACGCUCGGAGGAGCAGAAUUGGAGGACAACGAAUCCAGCAGGAGAGUAGGGGUGCUAGAAUGAAGUGGUGACCCGGCCUGGGUAUCGGCUGGGCCAGAGAACGUGGUAGCAAGCACUCGCUAUGUGUGGGUUGACCUGGAGAUCGGAGGUUCUAGACCUUGGCGAGUUACCAAGGGGGCUGGGGAGGCGAAGAGGAUGAGGCAGAGAGAGACAGUGAAGAAGACCCCAAUGUCUAAGGGGAAAGGGAGAGGCGUGAAGAUUCGUAGUGGGGCAGGAUGCUCCGUGGAUAAGGCGUGGCUGGGAGGAUAGCCGUUUGGGGGCGUUGGGAGCAGAGAAGGGAGGAGGGGAAAUGAUGGCCACCCUUUUGGGCCAUAUAUAUGCAAAUGAUUGACAGUAUGAGGGGGAACUCUUGAGGGCAGCUUGUCUCUGGCAGUGGCCGCAGCUCCCCCUCUCCCUUCUGCCUCCUGACCACCCACUUGCACCAACAACAGAGUCUGCCGUCAGCCCACCUCCAGCCGGGCUGAAAGAGCCUCUUUCCUGGGCGUGGAGGUGGCCAAGCCCUGCCUUUCUCUCCCUCCUGCGUGCCCCCAAAUCCAAACUCCUGAAGCCCCCCAACCACCCCCCGCCAGGACCCUUCCCCCACUUGCUUCCUCAUCCCCAGCAAACUCUCCAGAACCAUCUAGCCCUCAGCUGGUUUGUCCUCUGGGCCUCUCCCCUCCACAUGACUUUACUUUAGCGAGACAACUAGGAAGCAGCAGGAGACAGGCCUCCAAGGGCUCCUCCUUCCUCCUGCCCCAGGAGUCGUUCUGUAGUGUCACUAAAGAGUCUAUGGCUCUUUGGGGCACAUGGGUGGCUCAAUCAUGACCUGAGCUGAAGUUGGACGCUUAACCAACUGAGCCACCCAGGGGCCCCUGGAUGUUCUUGCACCCUAGGGAGGGACAGAACAGAGUGGGGACUGGGGGAGAGGACCUCUGAUAUGAUCUUAGUCUGGGCUGUGCUUGUCUUUCCUCUUCAGUAGUAACUGGCUGGGGAUGAGGCAGCAGGGCAGGCUCCUGGCGGGGUGAUGGGAGUAGAGUUCCCACCAGAGACAAGCCUGGGAGACUGUCAGGCAGAGGGGCCUCCAGAGAGCCCUGGAUGGCCAGCGGCUUUUCCUUAGGGAGCAGAGAUCUUGCCUUCCUCCGAGCCCUAAUCGGUUCCCAGAAGAGACACUGUCUGGCUUCUCCUGACACACGUUUCUUCUGUGUGUUGUUGGCUCCUCCUUCCCAGUCCAGCUCAGCUAACUGUCCUCCCAGAAAAGCCUUCUCUGAUGUCCUUCAGCUCCAGAGGCCUCCCUCCACCCCCCAAGACUCUCCUGUUGGUCCUAUUUUCUUGACAUUAUCUGGAUAGACCUUGUCCAUCUUGGUUUUCUUAUUGGUUGCCUGUCUUUCCUCCCUAGAGGGUAAGCUCCAUGCGGGGUGGGUGGGCGGCAGGGGGUGCUGGUCAUUCUUGACUGCAGCUGUACCUUCAGCUUCUAGGAUGGGGCCUGACACAGUUAGGCCCUCAAUGAGUAUUUGUUGAAUGGAUGAAUGGGUGGGUGACAACAGAUGGACAAGCACCAGGUCUCUGGGACGAGAGUUGCAUCAAGGUCCCGCCAGGCACUGAUAGAGAAUGCAUCUUGGGGCCCGGGGCUGGCUAAUGUUUGCUCCCUGACAGAUGGCACGCUGAGAGAUUCGUGGAAUGGGAUUUAAGCCUGGUUUCAUUUGAGCCUGAACCCCUUGGAGGCAGGGAAAGGGAGGACCAAAAAUGUACAGUUCUAUUCUCCCUGCCUAGGCAUGGGGUCGGCUCUGGAGGGCCAGGCAGUCCACAGGGGUGUCUGAGGGUCAGAGAGGGAGAAGUGUGGUCCCCAGGCUGUCUGAUGGAGUGGAGGUGUGGUGCUGUGCAUACAGAGACUGUGGGGUGUCACAGUCCUUGGGUGACAGUGCUCAGUCCAGUGGCAGACAGGCAGGGCCUUGGACUACGUGCGGGAACAGGUGGCACUUCCCCCCCAGACCCUUGUCCCCUCCCUCCCCACCCCCACUCAAAUACCCAAGUUGUGGAUGGAGACUCUAACCUGGACCUCUUUCCAGCUUUAGCGUAGGUGGUUCCGGCCCUGUUCUCCUUUUCUAGCUAACAGCGCCGUCACCGCUGCCUCUGAGACCCCAGCAUGGCCAACACAGCGAAAAGGAAUGGAAGGUACCUAGAGAUCUCCCCCUGGCCCGCAGGGUCCCGCUACCUCCCAAGUUCAGAAAAUGUCAGACAGCGGGACAGGGAAGCUCAGAGAGGAACUUAAGAACUUCACUGAAGGUGGAUUCUAGAAUAGGUUAGUGAUGCCUUUUUCUUCUAAGGGGCUCCUUCCCUCUUUCUACAUUUGCAAGGGAGUUCAAAUCUUUUUUUUUUUUUUUUUAAGAGAGAAAAUAUCUGAGCUUGGAAAGAGGAACCCCAAGCUGAUACCAGUCUGGGUUGGGGAUCUUUGAGGAUGGACAAAACUAUUCAAGCAGCAAGGAUCAGAGGGCAGAUUGCCCGUCACCCCACCCAUGUCCUCUUGGCCUGACCAGCCUUGGCCAGGCCCCUCACCCCUGAUGGGAGGUCUGGAAGCAUCCCAUCACAUCUCCAAAGAGCAUUAAACGUUGAGCCUUGGGGAGCCUCUAGGGCUUGGCGUCUGGGCCCAGGAGAUGUAGAGAAAGGCAUGGCUUUGGACUCUCCACACUUGUCCCUUGGGCAUUGAUCUGAUGAGCCUCUGCAGCCUCCCAUGCUGCCGUCCCCAGAGAGCAAGGUGCCCCAUUGGGCAUUUCCUCUGCAUGGACCCACCAUCUAUCACAUCUGCCCCUGGCUGUGGCAUGCCAAUCUCCCUUAUCUCAGCCUCCCAUGAUGAUAGCAGGGCUCUUGCCGUGUAAGCCCCAUCCUGCUUCCUGGUCUUGGGUCCAUCCCUGUGGGACCCUCUCUUGCUUGAACCUCAGGGUCUCAGUGCCGGGUCCUCGUCCCCUUCAUAGCUGCCACCUGUUCAACUUUCACAGGCUCUUCUCCCUGCACUCAGCGGUGGCCUGGGAGAGGCGCUCCAGCUGCCAGGCCAGUCACCUCCUGGUCAGGCAUAGAGUCCUGUCCAUUUUUAAUGCUUGUCUGCCAAGGACAGUGGGGCAACAUAACGUAAAGAUGUUCAGGAAAUCUCAGACAUGACACGAAACACUUGUCUCUGACCAAGCGGAAGUGUCCGUGGCUGGGGAAGGUCUCAUCCUCUGGUUGGUUCUUCAUGGCUUUCACCUUCAUACCUCUUUGGAUUUUCUUGAGUCUCCUGAAGGACAGCUGUGAUCCAGUUUGUUCUGGGUAUUGUAUGUGCAUUCACAGACUGUAGGAAGUGAAGGGGAAGGAUGGGGGGGUGGGUGGGCAGAAUCGGCCAGUUGGGGCAGCACAGGAAGAUCCCAUUGCAAGUGGGGCCACUGUCCCCGAUGGUGGGAGCUGAGACAGCCUGAGAUCAAUGGGGGCCAUGACAGAUCCUUGUAUCAGUCCCUGGGCCUCCCUGGCAGCCCACAGGACCCCUGUCAGUCAGAGAAGACCAAGUAAGGGGUCUUAUGAAAUGCUCACUGGAUGGUACAGGACGAGGGGGCUUUCUGGGCAGGAACACCCACACUGAAGGACUUCAAAGGAGGCAGUCCCCUUUGGGACUGAUCCUGCCUGAUAGUCUGGUUCAUAACUUAAGUUCAUAGACUUAGGAAGCUGGAGUAGGUAAAGCUAAGGGGAUGGACGGAGGGUUAAGGGUUAGUCCCAAAUAGCCACUAAAGAAGCCUGUGUAUGGCACUUGGGAUCCUAACAGUGGGGAAGGUGCAGGAAUGAUGUGGGCCCUACUUGCAAGAAGGGGAAGCAGAGAGAGUGUGAGAAUUGCCUCCUAAGAAUCUGGGUCGGAGCCAGGAAGAGCUUUAGUCCCAAAGCAUUGUCCCUGAUUGAAGAGCUUGGAAGUAGAGAGGACCUGGGGUCAGGGCCUUGUGUCAGGACUGUCCCUGGGGCCGGGUCCCUCUGGAUGGUGGCCUGGCCUUGAACUUGGGUCUGAAUGGCCAGAGACUCUUCCUCCACGAGGUGCUUGCCUUCUGCUAGCCUCAACUUUUCAGGAAGAGAAUAUAUGCAAAACAGGGAUUGGGGUGGUUUGGGGAUGGGAUGGGGCUUUGGGCUCUUAAUGGACUAGGAUGACAUCAACUCCUAUGGCGGACUGGCCAAUUUCCACACCAAAAAAAAAAAAAAACCAAACAAACAAACAAACAAAAAAAAACCCAUCUGGGAGCAAGGGAGCAAACCCAGGAAUAAAGGCCAUAUAGAGAAGUGACCCAGCAUUAUAGCUAAAGUUGGCAUAUGGGAGCAUUCCAAUUUGUUCUAGAAAGGACAAAGAGGCAGUGGAAAAAAUCACCAGUUCCUGGUUCUAUCGCCUACAUUAGCUACAAUCCCAGGGGUUAGCAAACUAGGUUUUAGUUCUGAAAGAAGAGUGUCUAACUCUCUCUGUCAUCCUGAGUGGUAUGUUGAGGACCAGGCUGAGCGAGCUGGACUAUGGAAUUUUUCCUUAAGUGAGGUCCAGGCAGAAAAGGAGGGAUCCUGGGAAGGAGAAGAGAGAAAGAGAAACCCCUCUCCAGGGUUCAGCCCCAGAGCCUCUGGGGAGAGCAUUACUAGCUGAGUACAUCGAAAACAAAGGGCAAGUGUCCCCAUGGCCACCUGGGCACAGACCUACACCUGGGCCACCUUUCAUGGGCAGACUGCAGGGUUAGACUCUUUAGUUUUCUUGGGCUGCCCUGGUCCCCAUGUGCUUUAGGAAAGACCCAGAAGAGGCUGGCUUUUCGACUGGAGGUGCCCAGGUGUAAGGGUCACUCCGGCGUGGACACCGCGCUGGACCCCGUGGAGGCCGGAGCUGGCUCAGAGUGCCAGCAGGGGCACUGCUUGGGCCACAGAAGGAGCCACAACCCUGCACCCAUGGGGCAAGGAGUCCCACCCUGAAGACCGGAGCAGGUACAUAUGGGGCCUCGCAGAGACUCUCCAUCAGUGAAUGGGACUGGACUUUAAACCAGAUUGAGCAUUCGGGCACAGCUUUUUUUUUUUUUUUUUUUAGUUUAAUUUAAUUUACUUUUUUUUUCAAUAUAUGAAGUUUAUUGUCAAUUUGGUUUCCAUACAACGCCCAGUGCUCAUCCCAAAAGGCGGGCACAGCUUUUUUAAGCUAUAGCCCAAAUAAAUUUCAUUUUCUCUGUCCAAUUGUGUCGUGUUGGUUAAAUGUGGCAGCCCUUCCCCAUCAGCCACCAUUGUUGUCAGAAGAUGUAGUAUUUCUGCCUUCACUCAAGAGGGCUCCCAGGGCGCCUGGGUGGCUCAGUGCGUUAAGUGGCCGACUUCGGCUCAGGGUCAUGAUCUCGCGGUCUGUGAGUUCGAGCCCCGCGUCGGGCUCUGUGCUGACAGCUCAGAGCCUGGAGCCUGUUUCAGAUUCUGUGUCUCCCUCCCUCUGACCCUCCCCCGUUCAUGCUCUGUCUCUCUCUGUCUCAAAAAUAAAUAAACGUUAAAAAAAAAUUUAAAAAAGAGGGCUCCCUGGCUGCCAGCAUCCCCUGGUCCUUUCCAAGGUGUUUACUGGGUCAUUAGCGUUGAGACCCAGAGAGCCAAGCGCUGAUACUGACUGAUUCCACCUAUGGCCUUGGACUGAACAUCCUGUGUAGCAUCCUGGGCCCGAAGUCUACAACAGAGGAGCCAAACACACACAUCUGUGCUUGGAUCCCAGACACGCCCCCAGCCUUGAGGUCCAGAUGAUCCCUGGAGGCUGGAUCAAGGGAGUGCCUCCUUAGGGUCUCCUAAUCGACCCUCCAGGAGCAGGGAACAGGCCAAGGUGGGUAGGGGAGCUAGACAGACCACAGGGUUGGAGAUCAGGCGGUUGAGUACUCCCUCCUCCCCGGGAAAGGAGGACUAAGGUCCUCAGCUCAGAUGGAAGAUUAGAACGCAGUGUCAUAAAGGUUGUAAGAGCCUGGGAACAUCCUGAUGGGGCUUUGUGGCCCAGGAGGGUGCCUGAACAGUCUCCUGACCAGGGAUGAUGGCACAGUGGCAGGGAAAGGAGGUGCUUCCAGGUCCCCGGUGGGCAGCCAGGACAUCUGAGGAGGGCAGGAGUCUCCCCAAGGAUCUUGGCCAGUGGCCCAGGCACCCACUGGGAGAGGAACUGUGGAGGUUGGCAAACUGGGGCUGGGACCCAAGCCAUCGGGACCUUGUCUGUCUUUCCGUCGUCCUUAGCAGGUCACCUCCACCCUCGUGCUCAGAAGAUGCUAAUGUUCCUCCAGGGACCAUGCCCAGAAGAAAGGGACAGAAGGCCUGAUGGGGCGCACUGGGCCUGUCCCCUUUGUGCUUAUAUCUCAUCAGCCAGAACCGCCUCACGUGCUAUCCCCACGUGCAGUCACUGAGAAUCACCAGGGAGGACGAAGGGCCUUGGGGUGCACACCAGCACCCCAGUCGACUGUGCCCUGGCAUAGCUGCCUCCCUGUCUCCUCCUCCAUUUUGCCAAAGGCCCCCACGUGGGGGGCAGAGUCCUGGCUUCAACAGCCUUCCCGCUGGCCCCUGAAGAGUGGAUUGGCAUUUUAUGGCAAUUUGGCAGAAAGCACGAUGGAUAUGGCCUCUGCCACCACAGAGGGGGCAGUGGUGGGGUAAGUGGAGGCUGGGGACAGCACAACGGAUUGGAAAGCACGUAGAAGAGGCGUGGAUCCCAGUCUAGAGGGGGCAAUGGGCAGGGAGAACUUCCAGGAGGCGGGAGCUGUCCUGGCUAAAACCUAAAAGGCAGACAAGAGCAAGUUGGGAAGGAAUCCAAGAGGGUGACAAGUGACAGAGCUAAGGAACAGGGAAGAAUCUGGAGGGUGCGGGAAGAACCGAGGUUGGAGAAGCAGGCCCAGCGCAGGGCGUCCAGAGCUGUGGGUGUGGGGCAGGGAAUAAAACCAAGGGUGGCCUGGGGCGCAGUCCCUUGGUGCUGCGGGGUCCUUGGGGGGUGGGGGGCUGGGUGAGAUCACAGGCCUCCGCAGAGACCCUGCACCUAAGGCCCUACUUGGAGCACCAGGGCUGGUGACCUCAGGGCAUUUAACUGCUGGUACUUGGGGGGGGGGGGCUGGGGCAAGGGUGCAGGAUAAAGGAGGGGGGCCUCACGGAAGGGAGAUCAGGGUUCAGUAGAUACUCUCUUCCAUAUGCAAUAGGAGGUGUGGCUUCUGUCAAGAGGGGCCGGUACAAGAGGGGACUAACUAGGCUCUAGCUAAGGGCCAACUAGAGGCUGACUAGGAGCCCGCCUUUCUGGCGGGGCAGGAUCAGCACGGGGUUGCGGCCAGGGUGGUCUGGGCAGGAGUGCGGCCACAGAAGGCUGGCACGAAGUCACUCGCCUCCUUCUUACCAAAUCCAGGCAUCCCGUUCUACUCCAUCAUGCCACCCGAAUCCUCUCUUUGGGCUUUAUAACCUCGAAUCUAAACCUGAUCCCUACCUACACCUAAAAAGGAAAUUUGGGGGAAAAUGAAAAUGCUGAAUUUGUUUAAAUUGUCAUAAAAGAAGAUAGUCAUUCGUAGAUUUUCAUGAGUAACCGGAAAUGUUCACAAAGCACUUUGUGUUAUGAUGGGAAAGACAAGAAGCAUGCUUAUCAGUUAUUUAGUGCCUACUAUAUGCCUUCUCUUCACUGGUGGGCAGCGACAGCCCCUUCCCACCCCCAUUCCCCCACCCCUACCCCCCCACCAAGCUCCGUCCCUGCCACUCAGAGCGAGAUGGCUUAGUGGACUAAAGCCCCUAAACAUACUCUUUGCCCAGAGAAAAAUCCUGUCUGCACUUGGCCCAGGAAUGGAGACACAGCCCCGGUGACCUCCCCCUUUUGACUGCCUCCCCCUUCUGACUGCCUUUUGAGCCCUGAGUGGUGGGAGAAGGUGUAGGUUUCAUUUGCCAGGGAGGUGGGGCAGGUGGGAGGGGAGGUUGGUGGGAGCUGGGGAAAAGUCGGUGGGAGCCCCAGGAAGCUUAGGUGAAGUUAUACUGGAUGCUACUGGAAGGGUGAGCACAGCUAGGAGAGACUGAGCCUGAGUUGGGGGGGGUGGGGGUGAGGAGAUGACCCAGCUCCUGGGCUCCAGGUUCUGCAGGGCUGUGUGAUACCCUGCCUUCUGGGGCUGCACUCCGUGGCACUUCCUACUUGGGUUUUAUGGCAAGGUUCCUUAGCCCCUGAGCGGGACACAUCUGAGCCUAUAAAACGGGCAGCUUGUUUCUCAUGGGAUCUCUGGGGAGGAAAAAAAUACUGAUAAAGCAUUUCCGAUUCUAAGAAGGAUGCCUCACAUACAGCAAGUGCUGUGGGGGAGGGGGGGAUGGUGGGGAAACUGAGCAAUCACGUAGGACUACGUGGAAACACAGAUGGCCUAACCUCUCUCCACCCCACUUCCGCACUCAGCCCACGCUUCUGGUCCCACCAAACUGCCCACCUCUCUGCAAGUGCCCCCUGCCCCUUGUGGUCUCUGCUUUCAGUUCGUCUCGGUUCUCUGGAUCUGAAAUGCCCUGGCCCUUGCUUCUUGUCACCCUCCAGCCCCCUCUCCUCCAUUUAAGGAUCUCCUCCCCGCCCCCUCCCUCCUGACAGCCUUGGGAGCGGGGCUGCCAGCUCCUGGCUGGGCCCUCAGCUGCACACACACCUGUGCUGUGGAAGAAAGUUCUCUGGCUCCACAGAGGGCCAGGUGAGAACGCCCAGUCCCAGCCCUAGAAGCGGGGAACGUCUCAAUGGCCAGGCAAGGAGGCCGAAGUCCGCCCUGGUUCUUCCGAUUCCCGGACCCUGACACCCUUUCAGCCAUCCCCAAAGGGACUGCGGGGUGUGGCAGCUGGCAGCAGCUGUCCAGGGCCAGGAGUCCUUCCAACCGUCACCGACAUUGACCAUCCUGUCAAGGAGUGCCACAGUCACUGCGUGAUGGACUGCUCUCGUCCCUCCACAUCCAUCCCUGCCUUUGUGAUAAAACCCUGCUUUUGGGGUGGAAAUGAAGUGAUUGCACAAUCCCACAGCCCUCCUUGGCAGCCGCGUGCGGCCACGUGUGGAUUUCAGGAAGCCCGGAAAGGGGACAAGUGUGUUCCUCUUCCCGCUGCCCCUGGGCUGGAAGGCGGACAAGUGAUUGGCUGUCAUCUCUGACCACGAGACGGAGGCCACGUUGUGAGGACAGAAGAGCAACGGCUGACCACCAAGGACCAGCCCCGGAUUGCCUGUAUCAAGCAUAUGAAGUCUACAGCCAUACCACCCUGAACGCGCCCGAUCUCGUCUGAAAUAGCAUAUGAAGACAGCUACGUCACAGAUCAGGAACUGGAAGGAGGUCCAGGCACUGUCCAUCCCAUCGAGGUCGAGGCACAGUCCAUCCCAUCUCCCUAUGAUACAGAUGAGGAAACUGAGGCCCAGGAAAGGAACACGACUAGGGCACCCCACACGGUGAGUUGGUGGGCUGGACUCUGGCCAGUGGGCACGUCCCACCCUGCCCACCUGCCCCCUGUCCGUGUGUUGGCCCCUGAAACAAACUUGAGAGGUAGAUGUAGGAUAUGUGGGGUCUGCCUUGGCUGCCUGUCGGAGCUCUAGCUCUUCUGCUGCGGGGACAUCUGUUGGCUUCCAGAAAACAGCCUGGCUGACAAUCAGACCAAGAAGUCCCCGGAGGAACAAAGACCAUGUUCAGAAGGGCACACAGACAAGGCCACUCCGGGCCAGCGGCUCCAGCUGACUUUAAUCCUCCCCCCUCCUAGGUAUUGAUGAAGAUCCCUGUUACUGAAUUCCCUCCAACUUCUAGACAGCACCCAACCCCAGACCGCCUCUGCUUUCCCGACCUCUUCUCGAAUCGCUCCCCACCAACCUGAACCCUCUAAGAGGCCUCUCUUGGGACCUUCCUUUUGAGAUUCUCUGGAGAUCCUGUAGGGCAUGUACUUUGCUGCGCAAGCUAAAUAAACCUAACUUUUUUGGACUA